GUCUUUGAACGCAAGUUGCGCCCGAAGCCCUCGGGCCGAGGGCACGCCUGCCUGGGCGUCACGC
RNAcentral lists this ribosomal RNA (64 nucleotides) under x Ruttyruspolia sp. BKF189461. RNAcentral describes it as "partial 5.8S ribosomal RNA". Lineage: Eukaryota; Viridiplantae; Streptophyta; Magnoliopsida; Lamiales; Acanthaceae. The record is from RNAcentral.